This 483-nucleotide long non-coding RNA is filed under the name Manacus vitellinus (golden-collared manakin). RNAcentral's name for it is "lncRNA (ENSMVIG00005019936.1)". Lineage: Eukaryota; Metazoa; Chordata; Aves; Passeriformes; Pipridae. The record is from RNAcentral.
GAGCAGGAGAAGCAGGGAGGCAGGAUUUGGGCAGCUCUCCAGCAGCAACACCGUGGCAGACCCUGACUCAGGCCUACAAGAAUGACAACCUGAGGACAACCAUGAGAGCCAGGAACAGGCCAUCAAACACAGCUUUAGAGGUCAUAUUCCUUUUGGCACCAGAAAGAACAAUGGCCAUAAGUGAUUUGCUUUGCAUUUAUGGCUUUUACCUUGCAUGCAACUCGUAUCACUUACAAACUCCCACAGAGAGUCUCUGCCCCCCUGAGAUGUUGUUACAAACCACGCACAAGCAGAAGUCUGAACAAAGAGGGCAGCUGCCUGAAAGCCACAGGAACACCUGAAGUCAGAGGAACUGCUACUUACCAGAACAGGUUCUACUACCUGGGUGUCUGGUCUAUCAUUUGGUAGGUCUGGGCACCAAUAUCCUUCCUGAACACAGGAGGUGCUGCAAAGGCAAAAGUGGAAGAGCCUAAAAUAAAAUAC